UAGGGAAUCUUCAGCAAUGGGGGCAACCCUGACCGAGCAACGCCGCGUGAGUGAAGAAGGUUUUCGGAUCGUAAAGCUCUGUUGUAAGAGAAGAACGUGUGUGAGAGUGGAAAGUUCACACAGUGACGGUAACUUACCAGAAAGGGACGGCUAACUACGUACCAG
This 165-nucleotide ribosomal RNA is filed under the name uncultured bacterium. Its description in RNAcentral is "partial 16S rRNA". It matches the Rfam family "Bacterial small subunit ribosomal RNA", at positions 355 to 511 of the family's 1533-position model. The record is from RNAcentral.